GGUCGAUUAGUGUAGAGGUUAGCACGCGGGAUUUUGAUUGCAUGAAAAACAUCUUCCCGAGACGGGGGUUCAAUUCCCCCAUUGACCU
Whalleya microplaca is the source of this 88-nucleotide non-coding RNA. The record is from the annotation of a GenBank genome assembly. NCBI's taxonomy places the organism in Eukaryota, Fungi, Ascomycota, Sordariomycetes, Xylariales, Xylariaceae.